Molecule: unclassified non-coding RNA, 333 nt
Filed under: soil metagenome
Description: partial contains 5.8S ribosomal RNA, internal transcribed spacer 2, and large subunit ribosomal RNA
Rfam family: 5.8S ribosomal RNA (bases 1-121)
Source: RNAcentral
GAUGAAGAACGCAGCGAAAUGCGAUAAGUAAUGCGAAUUGCAGAAUUUCCGUGAAUCAUCGAAUCUUUGAACGCACAUUGCGCCCGCCAGUAUUCUGGCGGGCAUGCCUGUUCGAGCGUCAUUUCAACCCUCAAGCACAGCUUGGUGUUGGGACUCGCGUUAAUUCGCGUUCCCCAAAUUGAUUGGCGGUCACGUCGAGCUUCCAUAGCGUAGUAGUAAAACCCUCGUUACUGGUAAUCGUCGCGGCCACGCCGUUAAACCCCAACUUCUGAAUGUUGACCUCGGAUCAGGUAGGAAUACCCGCUGAACUUAAGCAUAUCAAUAAGCGGAGGA